AGUGAACGCUGGCGGUAGGCCUAACACAUGCAAGUCGAACGGCAGCACAGUAAGAGCUUGCUCUUACGGGUGGCGAGUGGCGGACGGGUGAGGAAUACAUCGGAAUCUACUUUUUCGUGGGGGAUAACGUAGGGAAACUUACGCUAAUACCGCAUACGACCUACGGGUGAAAGCAGGGGAUCUUCGGACCUUGCGCGAUUGAAUGAGCCGAUGUCGGAUUAGCUAGUUGGCGGGGUAAAGGCCCACCAAGGCGACGAUCCGUAGCUGGUCUGAGAGGAUGAGCAGCCACACUGGAACUGAGACACGGACCAGACUCCUACGGGAGGCAGCAGUGGGGAAUAUUGGACAAUGGGCGCAAGCCUGAUCCAGCCAUACCGCGUGGGUGAAGAAGGCCUUCGGGUUGUAAAGCCCUUUUGUUGGGAAAGAAAAGCAGCAGGUUAAUACCCCGCUGUUCUGACGGUACCCAAAGAAUAAGCACCGGCUAACUUCGUG
This 492-nucleotide ribosomal RNA is filed under the name uncultured bacterium. Its description in RNAcentral is "partial 16S ribosomal RNA". It matches the Rfam family "Bacterial small subunit ribosomal RNA", at positions 29 to 507 of the family's 1533-position model. The record is from RNAcentral.